UAUUCUUCCUUGGUAAAGUCACUUGACUGCUGACAGUCUGUUUCCUGGACUAUAAAAUGAAGAUGCUAUGAAUACUGCUGAAGUGACUAACUGAUGACGUAUCAAUGUCAAACAUAAGUAUCGGUGAAAGAACUAUUUUGAAAUAAACAUCCUGGUUAAUCACUAAGGUCUAAGGAGGAAAACUGAAGACGAAGUUCAACAGACCCGUCACUAGUGGAGCCUGGCUUUCUCCUUGGAGAAAGCAGUAACCAGACUCUACCUAUUACAAUGAGAAGCUGCACUCAGGAUAAUUAUGGCUCGGUAAACCAUCAGCAUUCAGCAGGCAGUAAUUGAAAUUUCAUAGGCUCAUUAGCAGGUGGGAGAGGUACUGUGGCUGAGAGCUGCCAGCUGAGUAGAUUGUACAGUAUUGCAAUUUGUCAUAAGGCACUGUACUGCUACUAUGUUAAAAGGAAAGCAGGAAAAUAAAAGGUACUUUUUCUUAUACAAAAUGAAA
Long non-coding RNA from Homo sapiens (human), 493 nucleotides. RefSeq lists it as uncharacterized. The record is from RefSeq and is a predicted model, not a curated record. NCBI's taxonomy places the organism in Eukaryota, Metazoa, Chordata, Mammalia, Primates, Hominidae. The transcript is spliced from 2 exons.